GGAAUCGCUAGUAAUCGCGGAUCAGCAUGCCGCGGUGAAUACGUUCCCGGGCCUUGUACACACCGCCCGUCACACCAUGAGAGUCGGGAACACCCGAAGUCCGUAGCCUGACCGCAAGGGGGGCGCGGCCGAAGGUGGGUUCGAUAAUUGGGGUGAAGUCGUAACAAGGUAGC
RNAcentral lists this ribosomal RNA (173 nucleotides) under uncultured bacterium. Its description in RNAcentral is "partial 16S ribosomal RNA". It matches the Rfam family "Bacterial small subunit ribosomal RNA", at positions 1328 to 1500 of the family's 1533-position model. The record is from RNAcentral.